This 545-nucleotide ribosomal RNA is filed under the name uncultured Glomeromycotina. RNAcentral describes it as "SSU rRNA". It matches the Rfam family "Eukaryotic small subunit ribosomal RNA", at positions 548 to 1097 of the family's 1831-position model. Lineage: Eukaryota; Fungi; Glomeromycota. The record is from RNAcentral.
UUGGAGGGCAAGUCUGGUGCCAGCAGCCGCGGUAAUUCCAGCUCCAAUAGCGUAUAUUAAAGUUGUUGCAGUUAAAAAGCUCGUAGUUGAAUUUCGGGAUUAGUACGCUGGUCGUGCCUUCGGUACGUACUGGUGUUACUGAUUUCUACCUUCUGACGAACCAUCAUGUCAUUAAUUUGGUGUGGUGGGGAAUCAGGACUGUUACUUUGAAAAAAUUAGAGUGUUUAAAGCAGGCUCGCGCUUGAAUACAUUAGCAUGGAAUAAUGAAAUAGGACGUUGAUCCUAUUUUGUUGGUUUCUAGGAUUGACGUAAUGAUUAAUAGGGAUAGUUGGGGGCAUUAGUAUUCAAUUGUCAGAGGUGAAAUUCUUGGAUUUAUUGAAGACUAACUACUGCGAAAGCAUUUGCCAAGGAUGUUUUCAUUAAUCAAGAACGAAAGUUAGGGGAUCGAAGACGAUCAGAUACCGUCGUAGUCUUAACCAUAAACUAUGCCGACUAGGGAUCGGAUGAUGUUAUUUUUAAUGACUCAUUCGGCGCCUUACGGGAAA